This 94-nucleotide transfer RNA is filed under the name Ophiostoma piceae UAMH 11346. It matches the Rfam family "tRNA". Rfam says of the family: Transfer RNA (tRNA) molecules are approximately 80 nucleotides in length. Their secondary structure includes four short double-helical elements and three loops (D, anti-codon, and T loops). Lineage: Eukaryota; Fungi; Ascomycota; Sordariomycetes; Ophiostomatales; Ophiostomataceae. The record is from Rfam by way of RNAcentral.
CUCCGGGUGGUCUAGUUGGUUUAUGGCAUCGGACUGUAACUGCUUAUAUUACAAUAAUAUCCGAGAGUCGGGCGUUCGAUUCGCCCCCUGGAGA